RNAcentral lists this ribosomal RNA (325 nucleotides) under uncultured eukaryote. RNAcentral's name for it is "partial 18S ribosomal RNA". It matches the Rfam family "Eukaryotic small subunit ribosomal RNA", at positions 1470 to 1796 of the family's 1831-position model. The record is from RNAcentral.
CCCUUAGAUGUUCUGGGCUGCACGCGCGCUACACUGGUGCGUUCAGCGAGUUUAGCACCUUAACAGAUAUGUUUGGGUAAUCUUCUGAAAACGCACCGUGAUGGGGAUCGAUUAUUGUAAUUAUUAAUCGUCAACGAGGAAUUCCUAGUAAGUGUGAAUCAUCAGUUCGCGCUGAUUACGUCCCUGCCCUUUGUACACACCGCCCGUCGCUGCUACCGAUUGAAUGCUCAGGUGAGCCAUUCGGACUUUCAUCAUGCUGGUUUCCAGUUUUGAUGAAGGAAAGUCUUGCGAACCUUAUCAUUUAGAGGAAGGAGAAGUCGUAACA